RNAcentral lists this ribosomal RNA (493 nucleotides) under uncultured marine eukaryote. RNAcentral describes it as "SSU rRNA". It matches the Rfam family "Eukaryotic small subunit ribosomal RNA", at positions 619 to 1121 of the family's 1831-position model. The record is from RNAcentral.
UUAAAAAGCUCGUAGUUGGAUUUCGGAUGGGCCAGUUGGUCCGCCGCAAGUGUGUUACUGACUGGUUUGCUCUUCUUCGCGAAGACUGCGUGUGCUCUUUGUUGAGUGUGCGUAGGAUUUACGACGUUUACUUUGAAAAAAUUAGAGUGUUCAAAGCAGGCUAUUGCUUGAAUACAUGAGCAUGGAAUAAUGGAAUAGGACUUUGGUCCCAUUUUGUUGGUUUCUAGGACCGAAGUAAUGAUUAAGAGGGACAAUUGGGGGCAUCCGUAUUUCGUUGUCAGAGGUGAAAUUCUUGGAUUUACGAAAGACGAACAACUGCGAAGGCACUUGCCAAGAGUGUUUUCAUUAAUCAAGAACGAAAGUUAGAGGAUCGAAGACGAUCAGAUACCGUCCUAGUUCUAACCAUAAACGAUGUCGACUAGGGAUCAGCGGGCGUUAUCGUACGACCCCGUUGGCACCUUACGGGAAACCAAAGUUUCUGGAUUCCGGGGGA